CAUGCGGGUAAAGGCGGGGUUUUCCUUCGAGAUCUAGGUUACGAUUGGUCCGAGCUCCGAAAUGCUCGACCAUAGAGUCGGCGGGACUCCGAGGUUCCAUAACCUCGCGUACAAAAUGGCGACCGAGGUGGAAGCUGAAGAAAAAGGCGUGAAGGAGAUGACUGAACGCCUGAUGCUGGAGGACACAUGACCUUGGCCCCGAGCUUUCAUUCGGGCGCUCCGACCCGGGGCGCGUUGCAUUUUGGGAUUUGUAGUCGGGUCGGAGGCCCCGAGGACCACAGAGAUCCCGCGAGACGUUACUCUGAGGCCCGGCGAGCCCACGCCUUUGCAGCAAUUCUCAUCCAGUGGUUCGAGGGAGUUCGGCUUCCGCCAUAUGGAAUGGAGGGUCUCUGUAAUGUGACUCUCCCAGCCUCCGGCCUGCAUGCCAGCAGAGGCACUACUCCCAGCAGGAAGCUCAGCUCAGUACCAAAGCUGUCAUUGGCAAGCACUGGGUGACAUAAAGGAGACAGGACAGGACAAGGAAUUCUGCAGGAGCUGGGACAGCUGGGGACAUCUGGAGACACGCAAAAAUUUACACCAGACACUUCAAGGACUGUCCACUGAGACAUAGGACAGCCGGAGAACUCUGACCACAGAUGUGCAUUAAAAUCUCCCUGGCGAAUGUC
Long non-coding RNA from Chinchilla lanigera (long-tailed chinchilla), 665 nucleotides. RefSeq lists it as uncharacterized. NCBI's taxonomy places the organism in Eukaryota, Metazoa, Chordata, Mammalia, Rodentia, Chinchillidae. The record is from RefSeq and is a predicted model, not a curated record. The transcript is spliced from 2 exons.